UCUCCUGAACCUCUCCUUUCUCUGUUGACCCGGUGGCAUCUCCUCCUUUCUCUCAUUCUCUCAGAUCCAGAUUGGCUGCUCAUCGAGGCGGAGGGCUUCAGUCGGCGGCGAUCCCUGCCACCGCGGCCUCCUCAUCCCCAACAGCGGCGGCACCUCCUUCGUCCCCUCAAGCAUCCACGACUGCUACUCCCCGACCGGCAACCGCGACGCUCCUGGUGGCCGCACGGCACGGCUAGGCCCACUCGGGGAAGGCUACGGCGGCACGAUGCACCAUCAGCACGUUUGCUGGGGCCCUUCCGUUCCAACGAUGGCGGCGCCCUUCGUGUACGGACACGCCGCGUGCAGGGCAAUGCUGUCCACGCCGGAUUGCAUGGCCUGCCUCCGCUCCAUCGUGAGCCAUAUGGACGCGGCGCCAGGGCCGUGCUUCUUGACUGCAGCUUGCGCUAUGAGCAAUCCAGAGCCAUGGCCGCCGGUGCCUCCAUUGACCACCUGCUUCCUCCUCAUGCAAGUAUGGAUUGAAUAGGCAACAUGUGGGAUCAGGGCAGCAUUAGGAGGCGACCUGUGAUUUCCUCCGCCUCCCUUCCAAAUCCGGUGUUGAAUCGAGAAGCAGAUCUGAUGCUAACUCAUUUAUUCCACCAUGCUUUUCAUGCAGUGAUUUCGUCCGUUGUGCUUUCUAUAUGCAGGCAACCAGUGAUUUUAUGCAAUUCAUUUUCAUGCAUUUUUGAAUUUUGGAUACAUUUCUAGCUGAUACUUGGUAUACACUGUUGGUAUAUAUUUCUAUACAUUAUUGACACAUAAUUUGAUACAUUGUUGGAGCAGUUUCUAUGCGGUUUUUAUGUGGUAACAAAUUUAAUCUUUAUUCAUUGAACUACUAGUUUCUAUACAUUAUCGGUGCCAAAAAUAUUUCUGCGCAACUUGACUACUAAUUCUAUGAAUCUGAUCGCCCAUUGCAUGCUAUUUUUUAAAUUUUGGAGAAAAUGAGAUCAUCUGCAUCUUUUACGUGUGUGAUCUCCAUGUUCUAUGUAUAUAUUGUUCCCAUGUUAAUUAUACACCCCUAAUGAUAUUUUUGGUUUAGAUGCACUGUUAGAAUAAUUAUCUGCGCACAAUUCUUUUUAUGCUUAGUUGUAUGGGUUUUAUCUGAUUUUUUGGUUGCAGCCUUGGAUGAUUAUUCUAACAGUGCAAUCCUGCUUACUUGCAUGAAAUGAAAAGCUAUAAACGCAAAACCAUUCUGGUGGCAAGUCCACUGCCUGAUGCAGUCCACGGCCGCGGUGCUAGUAUGAAGCAGCAGUGGCGGGUGGUGGCGUGUAGUUCACGGCGGCGGCGCUAGUGCGAAUCAGUGGUGGUGGUCAGUUCGAUGGAAGAUAGCAAAGGAGCAGCACGACGCGGCUAAGGAUUUUUGCAUUUUGUUGUUGAAUUUAGUGUUCUUAUGUUUGUGUGCAUAAGUUUCUAUACACACAAUGGAGCACUUCUAUGCAUUUUUGUAUUCUUAAUGCUUGUGAGCAUAAGUUUCUAUACAUUGUUGGAGCAGGUCUAUGUUGUUUUUAUGCGACAAUAAAUUCACUUUUUAUUCAUCAAAUUACUAAAUUCUAUGUAA
Long non-coding RNA from Sorghum bicolor (sorghum), 1594 nucleotides. RefSeq lists it as uncharacterized. NCBI's taxonomy places the organism in Eukaryota, Viridiplantae, Streptophyta, Magnoliopsida, Poales, Poaceae. The record is from RefSeq and is a predicted model, not a curated record. The transcript has 4 exons.